This 253-nucleotide ribosomal RNA is filed under the name uncultured bacterium. RNAcentral describes it as "partial 16S ribosomal RNA". It matches the Rfam family "Bacterial small subunit ribosomal RNA", at positions 524 to 776 of the family's 1533-position model. The record is from RNAcentral.
UACGUGGGGUGCAAGCGUUGCUCGGAAUCACUGGGCGUAAAGCGCACGUAGGCGGCUUUCUAAGUCAGGGGUGAAAUCCUGGAGCUCAACUCCAGAACUGCCUUUGAUACUGGAGAGCUUGAGUCCGGAAGAGGUGAGUGGAACUCCGAGUGUAGAGGUGAAAUUCGUAGAUAUUCGGAAGAACACCAGUGGCGAAGGCGGCUCACUGGUCCGGUACUGACGCUGAGGUGCGAAAGCGUGGGGAGCAAACAGG